Molecule: unclassified non-coding RNA, 219 nt
Filed under: Hevea brasiliensis (rubber tree)
Lineage: Eukaryota; Viridiplantae; Streptophyta; Magnoliopsida; Malpighiales; Euphorbiaceae
Source: RNAcentral
UUGCAAUGUUACAGUUACAAUGCAAGCCCAAAAGGAGGCACCCCAUGACAUGCAGUGCAGGGACAAAUUCCUUCUUCAAAGCGUUGCUGCUUCUGACGGUGCAACCACAAAAGAUAUAACUGCAGAUAUGUUCAAUAAGGAGGAUGGUAAGGUUGUUCAGGAGUUCAAACUGCGUGUAGUCUAUAUCCCCGCUAAUCCUCCCUCACCUGUCCCAGAAGA